GAGCACCCUCAUAAACCCCCCGGUCUCCUCCUGUGGUCUCUGGGACAAGAGAGGGUGCGAGAUCAAUCUUAGAAUCAUCCAAAGCUGAGUGCUGAGUGUCCGUAGCUCUCGGUUAUUUCACCUCUAAGACAGAA
Molecule: small nucleolar RNA, 134 nt
Organism: Labrus bergylta (ballan wrasse)
Lineage: Eukaryota; Metazoa; Chordata; Actinopteri; Labriformes; Labridae
Product: small nucleolar RNA SNORA14
Source: Ensembl